CAAGAAUGGGCAGUGCAGUUUCAGCUGCAGAUACCAUUUCUUAGGGCUGGUCCAGAGAAGACUGUGAAAUCCACAGCUGUCAAAACCUUUCAGUUCUGGAAAAGCUGCCUGGAAGAGACAGGGUAAGGUAGACCCACCACCUGCAUAAUGCCCAGUUGUAGUCACACGGCUAACAACAGCCAGCCAGCACAGAGGACUGAGCUCUGCCACCUGGCAUGCCUGAGGGGGUAAGGAGCCAUAAGGAUGCGAGAUACUGCAUAGCAUCAUAAAUCUUGCAGUUUGGGAGGCCAGAAGUGUUUCUCAGCAAAGGCUUUGAGAUUUAUCUGGACCAGCCAUAGCUUUGCAAUUGCUGUGAGUGUGUAUGGGGGGAGAAAGUGUGUAUCUCAAACACAUCAGUGAAUUAAAAACAUACAGUUCCCACUCUCCAGAAUCAGCUGGGGGAAAAAGACAAAACAUGUCUGAGAAAGUACAUUUUCCUGUGUCUUCUGGUGAUAUCCUGGUCUCCUUCUUUCAAGCCACUUUGGUAAGCUUGAUGUCCCCUGAGAUCCGCAAAGCUUUCACCAGGUUCAGAGGCUGAAUGCGGUGAGUGAAGUCACAGAGCUGCCGUCCAUCAACCAAGACUCGUAUCUGCUGGUGUUCACAUAAGAGCUCCAUCUGCAGUGGAAAAGGACAGGGAAGGCUGUUGGAAAUCAGCAGCAGAGCUCAUUCCAAUAGCAUGGACUUAGAACUAAAUGCUACGGGAAACCACAAAGCAAAGCACAAAGUCUAGCAGUUCUUUUGAAAUGCCCCUAAUAAAUAACCUACCCUCUUCUGAGGUGAUACUGCAGAGCUCCAGUGGGUACUCUAGCUGUGAUUAGAGAAAGAGAUGCCUCUUUCCCAUCAGGGCUCAAACUGUUGCUGUCUGUGCUAUACUAGACAGCAGGUUAACUAGACUAGUUAACCUGGCAAUGCCAGUGGCUGGCUGUUGGUGGUGAUAUACAUAGCUUUUAGCUUUUCUCCCCUUCUUUUCUCUACACUAUUCAUAAUACCUGAAAAAUUACCUUGAACGUGUCACCUGCUGUAAAUGGAAAGUAGGGAAUAGUCUUCUCUUCUCUUCCCCAUUUCCCAGCAAUUCGUGCAUUUCGGGUGAUGGAUUUCUCACUGAAGUUAACUGUAAAUAACAGCCCAACAUCUUUGUUGGCAUCCACUGGAUCACAGAGCAGAGUCACUGAAAAGCUGAAAAAAGAUCUGUUACUGGAACUUUCAGAAAUAUGAAAGGACAUGGUGAACAUGGCAGAUGCAUAUAGAGACUAGAGACAGCUGUUGGUUCCAUGUCAGACUGAAACACAGGACUUCCACUGGCUUAGAAGCUGGAGAAAGGGAUGAGACCUGGCUGGUCUUUGUUUCCUGCCCCAGUGUCCAGUAGAAUGCUAGUGAUAUCUAAUGUUGCUUUCCCUCUGUCUUGACUGAAAUCAAACCCUUCAAAAUGUACUCAUUUGUGUCCUAAAAAAGGUUGUGGCAUACUCUUCACCAGUGGAAGCAGUGGAGCUGAUAGCUGUGGAUGCAAAAACUGUGUAAUGAUGAGCACAGUUGCUGUUAUCCAGAUAAAAGACAGCAAUGAACCUUCACCUCCUGUGCCAAAACUGGUUUUUAAACGGUGUUGAUUCCAACCCCCCACAGACAACCAAGAUUCAGGUUGAGAAUUGCACCUCUUCCUGAAAGAGAAAUGCCACUUAUGUGUUCCCUCCAGUUCACAUUAGAUAAGGGCAAGGAGUAGAAAAUCUUGUCAGGGCAGUCAGAAAGGCCAAACAGUGAAGUCCUCCCUGACCUUUUAAUCUUCGUCUGAGUGCAGAAAAAUUAAAUAAGGCCAUAAAUUGUUAAUCUGUUUGACUUUCUUCGUUCAAAGAACACAUACUUCCAAGAAAGUGUCUGAAUUUAGAAGACAGGUAGGAGCAUGUAUAACAGGGUGAAGCCCCCAGCAGUCCCUUCACCUACCUCUUGGGCUUGGAGUGUACCAUGCCUAUGACUGUGAGUUUCAUGGUUGGUCUCAGGCCACCUUUAAUUUCACCAACAUACUGCUCCACCUGCAGGGAACAGUGAAAAUGGCUUCAGUGGGUCAUGCUGUGGGUAAACCAGCUUUAACAGCUGCUUUGAUCACUUCACAUAACCUGGGUUUACUUUCAUAUGUUCUAAAUAACUUAAAAGUAUUUCCAGCUCAAAGUACUUCUUGCAGUCUGAUGACACAAUAAAUCUGGUAACAGCA
Molecule: long non-coding RNA, 2242 nt
Organism: Passer domesticus (house sparrow)
Lineage: Eukaryota; Metazoa; Chordata; Aves; Passeriformes; Passeridae
Exons: 2
Source: RefSeq, a predicted model, not a curated record